GACGAACGCUGGCGGCGUGCCUAAUACAUGCAAGUAGAACGCUGAAGGAGGAGCUUGCUUCUCUGGAUGAGUUGCGAACGGGUGAGUAACGCGUAGGUAACCUGCCUGGUAGCGGGGGAUAACUAUUGGAAACGAUAGCUAAUACCGCAUAAUAGUAGAUGUUGCAUGACAUUUGCUUAAAAGGUGCAAUUGCAUCACUACCAGAUGGACCUGCGUUGUAUUAGCUAGUUGGUGGGGGAACGGCUCACCAAGGCGACGAUACCUAGCCGACCUGGGAGGGGGGUCGGCCCCCCUGGGACUGGGACACGGCCCAGGCUCCUUCGGGAGGCCGCAGUAGGGAAUCUUCGGCAAUGGACGGAAGGCUGACCGAGCAACGCCGCGUGAGAGAAGAAGGUUUUCGGAUCGUAAAGCUCUGUUGUAAGAGAAGAACGAGUGUGAGGGUGGAAAGUUCACACUGUGACGUUAUCUUACCAGAAAGGGACGGCUAACUACGUG
This 495-nucleotide ribosomal RNA is filed under the name uncultured bacterium. Its description in RNAcentral is "partial 16S ribosomal RNA". It matches the Rfam family "Bacterial small subunit ribosomal RNA", at positions 28 to 507 of the family's 1533-position model. The record is from RNAcentral.